CCAAGCUGGAUGUGCUCGUCCUGGCAACCAGUUAUAUUGCCCACCUGACUCACACCUUGGACCAGGACAGAGGGGGACAUGACAGCAGUCUGAUCAGCAGGGGUCCCGGGUAUCUACACCCCAUGAAGAAGUGGCCAAUGAGAGCACGACUGUACGGCGGGGGCCUGGUGGGAGCAGAAGUACAUGGAGGCUGCGUGGCAAACAAAGACUAGUCUUGGCUCUGGGAGUGUCUUGUUUGUAUUUAUUUUACACUCAUUACCCACUGUGUUUAAUUUGUCUAAUAAAAACAUCUUCCGUC
Xenopus laevis (African clawed frog) is the source of this 298-nucleotide RNA transcript. RefSeq lists it as uncharacterized. The transcript has 2 exons. The record is from RefSeq and is a predicted model, not a curated record. NCBI's taxonomy places the organism in Eukaryota, Metazoa, Chordata, Amphibia, Anura, Pipidae.